CAGCAGCCGCGGUAACACGUAGGUGGUAAGCGUUGUCCGGAAUUAUUGGGCGUAAAGCGCGCGCAGGUGGAUAGGUCAGUCUGUCUUAGAAGUUCGGGGCUUAACCCCGUGAUGGGAUGGAAACUGCCAAUCUAGAGUAUCGGAGAGGAAAGUGGAAUUCCUAGUGUAGCGGUGAAAUGCGUAGAUAUUAGGAAGAACACCAGUGGCGAAGGCGACUUUCUGGACGAAAACUGACGCUGAGGCGCGAAAGCCAGGGGAGCGAACGGGAUUAGAUACCCCAGUAGUCCCUGUCUCUUAUACA
This 301-nucleotide ribosomal RNA is filed under the name uncultured bacterium. RNAcentral's name for it is "partial 16S ribosomal RNA". It matches the Rfam family "Bacterial small subunit ribosomal RNA", at positions 509 to 809 of the family's 1533-position model. The record is from RNAcentral.